AUGCCCAUUCGUUGCAACCACCUCGAUUUGGAGUCCCUAACUCAAACCUUGCCAGCUGCGCGUGCGUCUUUUCCUUUACGAUACUUGGGUCUCCUCCUCUUCGUGUGGAAGCUGAAAUUGGUGGACUUCCAAUUCCUCGUGGACAAAGUGGCAAGCAAGUUGCCAUCGUAUGAUGGUCGAAACAUCACCAACAUCGGGCGAACGACCCUCGUCAAGUCCGUGCUCACUUUCCAUGUGGUCUACCCCGGCACCCCAUUGGUCAUACCGCCAACCAUCCUCCACAACGUCAACAAGCUCGAAAGAGCCUUCCUAUGGUCCGGCUCGGAAAAAACAUCAGGGGCCAAAUGCAAGGUGAACUGGGAGAUAGUUUGCCGGCCACUUUCGUACCGAGGGCUUGGGGUCCUGAACACCGCCAAGUUUACGAGGGCUCUCCAGUUACGAUGGCCGUGA
RNAcentral lists this ribosomal RNA (450 nucleotides) under Triticum aestivum (bread wheat). Its description in RNAcentral is "partial small subunit ribosomal RNA". The record is from RNAcentral. Lineage: Eukaryota; Viridiplantae; Streptophyta; Magnoliopsida; Poales; Poaceae.